ACUCCUACGGGAGGCAGCAGUGGGGAAUAUUGGACAAUGGGCGCAAGCCUGAUCCAGCAAUGCCGCGUGUGUGAAGAAGGCCUGCGGGUUGUAAAGCACUUUCAGUAGGGAGGAAAAGCUUGAGAAUAAUACUCUUGAGUGUUGACGUUACCUACAGAAGAAGCACCGGCUAACUCCGUGCCAGCAGC
RNAcentral lists this ribosomal RNA (188 nucleotides) under uncultured bacterium. RNAcentral describes it as "partial 16S ribosomal RNA". It matches the Rfam family "Bacterial small subunit ribosomal RNA", at positions 335 to 515 of the family's 1533-position model. The record is from RNAcentral.